Molecule: long non-coding RNA, 491 nt
Organism: Gordionus sp. m RMFG-2023
Lineage: Eukaryota; Metazoa; Nematomorpha; Gordioida; Chordodea; Parachordodidae
Exons: 4
Source: RefSeq, a predicted model, not a curated record
UUAUUUGAACAAGUUUAGAUUUUAGAAAAUAAAUAAAAUUUUAUCAUAUAUUUUUCAAGGUAUUUUUUUUGUAUAGAGCAAUUUUUUAAAAUAAAUAAAUUAAAUCUUCUGGAAAUUUUUGUAAUCUUAAUUCAAAACAUUGUAGCCAUGGCCCCGGCAUGAUUUAUGAUAUUCUUUACAAAUUUCAAAUUUCUUAACGACUCUAAAUAAAAUGUCAAUAAUUCAAACAAUCCAGAAAAUAUUCGAUUGGGAAAACGUCCUUAUAUGAUUAUACUGUGUUUUCUGGUGCAGUUCGUUACACUUUUCCCUUACACAACGCCCCGGGUAUUGUACCUAAAUCCGUAUUCAGAUGUGCAGCAAUUUUGGAAAACCAUCGCAUUACAAGAUUUAAAAGAUCAUUGCGGGAUGAAUCCAAAGGAACGAAGACUCAAACCUCGCAUAGUCAAGGGUUCAACAGCUUCAUUCACGGAUCAUUUUAAUUUGGUAUUUUU